GCCCAAAUUCGCACGUGCCUGUGGUCGCGUGUCGGUCGGUAGGAUCUCCGGACAAGAGGCCGGAAAGCUGCCAGGACGACCGAUAGCCGGAGGGAACCGGCCCACCCCGCUCCUCAUGCGGGGGACGUGACUUGAAGCAACGACGUAAGGGCUUUU
Molecule: small RNA, 156 nt
Filed under: Xanthobacter versatilis
Lineage: Bacteria; Pseudomonadati; Pseudomonadota; Alphaproteobacteria; Hyphomicrobiales; Xanthobacteraceae
Description: Xanthobacter autotrophicus Py2 Alphaproteobacterial sRNA ar45
Rfam family: Alphaproteobacterial sRNA ar45
Source: Rfam by way of RNAcentral